GGACUGGCAGGGUUCUUCUUGUUACCUUCAGGACUGAGAAUUGUGCCCAUUGUUUCUUUGGAGGCAGCCGACCUGGCCAAAUAUCUUGAAAAGCUCUCUGUCACAGCAGCCUUCCCCAUCUCGGCCUGGGAGUUCCCCAGAGGUGGUGUGGUUUACUGAGGCAUUGAAAACUCAGCAUUUCAAAGCAGGGGCUGUCUGUGUCCUGGCUGGGAGUGGCUCAGACUUGCCCUCACGAUUUUCGGAGACCUUUAUAACAGAAGGAACCACCUUUGGUUCAACUCUUCCAUUUUUCAGAGGAGGACGCAGGGAUCCAAAGAGGUUGAGACUUUGAAGUCCCUAAGCAACCAGAUUGGGAAACUGCAACCUCGAUUUGCCCAAGGCCUCGCCGUUACCCGGUGUGGAUCAGAACUGGAACCUACGCAGUGCGACAGCGGGGUCCGCACCUUGACCUCUGUGCUCAGAAUGGCUGCCUUCCACGGAUGCUCCGGGUGUGAGGAGGACCGACUUUACUCCUAGUAAAGUGCGAGGGGCACAUCGUUGCCUGAAUGAAGCCGCUUGGACAUUGCAUCCGUUCAGACCACUCCUUGCCCCAGAUGUAGCUCUGUCAUCAGCAGCUUGGUGUCGAAUUCAAGGUGUCUUGGCACCAGGAAUAAUG
Long non-coding RNA from Acinonyx jubatus (cheetah), 655 nucleotides. RefSeq lists it as uncharacterized. The transcript is spliced from 2 exons. The record is from RefSeq and is a predicted model, not a curated record. NCBI's taxonomy places the organism in Eukaryota, Metazoa, Chordata, Mammalia, Carnivora, Felidae.